This 450-nucleotide ribosomal RNA is filed under the name uncultured bacterium. Its description in RNAcentral is "partial 16S ribosomal RNA". It matches the Rfam family "Bacterial small subunit ribosomal RNA", at positions 28 to 523 of the family's 1533-position model. The record is from RNAcentral.
GACGAACGCUGGCGGCAGGCCUAACACAUGCAAGUCGAACGGUUGUAGCAAUACAGCCGUGGCGCACGGGUGAGUAACGCGUGGGAAUCUGCCCAGUAGUACGGAAUAACAGUUGGAAACGACUGACAAUACCGUAUACGCCCUUCGGGGGAAAGUUUUUCGCUAUUGGAUGAGCCCGCGUCAGAUUAGCUAGUUGGUGGGGUAAUGGCCUACCAAGGCGACGAUCUGUAGCUGUUCUGAGAGGAAGACCAGCCACACUGGAACUGAGACACGGUCCAGACUCCUACGGGAGGCAGCAGUGGGGAAUAUUGGACAAUGGGCGAAAGCCUGAUCCAGCCAUGCCGCGUGGGUGAUGAAGGCCUUAGGGUUGUAAAGCUCUUUUGGCGGGGAAGAUAAUGACGGUACCCGCAGAAUAAGUUCCGGCUAACUUCGUGCCAGCCGCCGCCGUAA